RNAcentral lists this ribosomal RNA (515 nucleotides) under uncultured bacterium. RNAcentral describes it as "partial 16S ribosomal RNA". It matches the Rfam family "Bacterial small subunit ribosomal RNA", at positions 28 to 523 of the family's 1533-position model. The record is from RNAcentral.
GACGAACGCUGGCGGCGUACCUAAUACAUGCAAGUCGAGCGGACUUUCAAGAAGCUUGCUUUCUGAAAGUUAGCGGCGGACGGGUGAGUAACACGUGGGCAACCUGCCUGUAAGACGGGGAUAACUCCGGGAAACCGGGGCUAAUACCGGAUAAUAUCUUUCUUCGCAUGAAGGAAGGUUGAAAGGCGGCGCAAGCUGCCGCUUGCAGAUGGGCCCGCGGCGCAUUAGCUAGUUGGUGAGGUAACGGCUCACCAAGGCGACGAUGCGUAGCCGACCUGAGAGGGUGAUCGGCCACACUGGGACUGAGACACGGCCCAGACUCCUACGGGAGGCAGCAGUAGGGAAUCUUCCGCAAUGGACGAAAGUCUGACGGAGCAACGCCGCGUGAGCGAAGAAGGUCUUCGGAUCGUAAAGCUCUGUUGUCAGGGAAGAACAAGUACCGUUCGAAUAGGGCGGUACCUUGACGGUACCUGACCAGAAAGCCACGGCUAACUACGUGCCAGCAGCCGCGGUAA